GGCGCUGUGGCUCAAACGGUAGAGCGCUCGCCUUGAGCUGACGAGCGAGCGCAGGGACAGCGCCC
RNAcentral lists this transfer RNA (65 nucleotides) under Dipodomys ordii (Ord's kangaroo rat). Lineage: Eukaryota; Metazoa; Chordata; Mammalia; Rodentia; Heteromyidae. The record is from Rfam by way of RNAcentral.